RNAcentral lists this long non-coding RNA (813 nucleotides) under Cicer arietinum (chickpea). Its description in RNAcentral is "long non-coding RNA (CARI_LNC003248)". The record is from RNAcentral. Lineage: Eukaryota; Viridiplantae; Streptophyta; Magnoliopsida; Fabales; Fabaceae.
CUCAAUCCUGCUCUCAAUCCCUAAGUCAAGGUAAGCUUAAGCGAAUAAUCUGCAAUUCUGUGUGCUAAAUGCUAAUAUUAGCAAUAGUAAGUGUAUAUUAUCUUAUUGUUGCGGCUGAAGCAAUGUAACAUAUUGGAUUAAGAAUAUAGGGAGAUUUAAUUGCAAUAUUUUGUUUGUCAAAGUUGAAGAAAUUUAAUAAUUAAAUAUUUAAAGAAUAAUCAUUUUAUUAUUAUCACAUUAAAGGGUAUUCCAGUGUGUGAAAUGAGUGGAUUUGGUUACCUAUUUAUAUGUGUUGAUUUUGCUUGAUUUGCUUACGAAUUGGUAAUAUCAAAUAAUCCAAUAUAUGAAAUGGAUAUAUAUUGCACAAUGUUAGUGCGUUAUCAUCCAACUUUGCUCACUGACAUCAUCAUCUGCAUUUGAAAAAUCAGCAGCUUCACUGGUCUGGCUUGCUAUUUCAGAGUAAUUUGAGUUGUCAUUGACGGGAUCUGUUUCACAUGAUUUAAUAUCCAUAUAGUUCUCGGCAGAUAUCAUAUCAUUCUUGGAAACAACAUUUUCAAUAUGCUUCUCAUCAUUGUUUUCAUGAACCUGGUUUGAAGCCUUAGCAUCUUCACUAACAUGAAGCACCCAGUUGUCAUGAAGAUACUUCACACCUUCUAGAGGGCUGGAUCAUUAAGCACUUCACUUUUUGAAAUUAGAAUUUCUUUGCGUGUGGUGUUCUUAUGAUCUCCUCUUUUAACAUAUUUUACUAAUGCUGUUUUUAAUGCAGGUUGUUUUGGCUGCUAAUGACUCAUAUUCUAUCAAUUAUAUCAAAGG